Molecule: long non-coding RNA, 725 nt
Organism: Oryzias latipes (Japanese medaka)
Lineage: Eukaryota; Metazoa; Chordata; Actinopteri; Beloniformes; Adrianichthyidae
Source: RefSeq, a predicted model, not a curated record
CGACCUGUUAACAUCUUGGUAUUCAAAUCAAAGGUCAAAGGAGCUUUCAGGUACAGACAGUCUCAUUCACCGCACAGCACCAACCCACAACAACCAGGAGCAAUGUGGAGAAAAUAUCAGCUCCGUCGAUGCACUGCGGAAAGUUUCUUCUUGAUUGCCAAAUCCACCCUCUGCAGACUCUACUGUGAUGUCAUCACAAGCUACAUCCAUGGCUCCUAGCAGAGUCAUUUGGGUAUGCAGAUGAUGGUCAUAUUCCCUCCACUGCUGUUCUAAUCUACUAUAUACAUUUUCAGAUUCUCAUCAGGCUCAUCUCUUUCAUUCUCAGGGAUCGUGUCCCUAUAAAGAGCAUCCAAAAAAGUCAAAAGGGGUAAUGUAUUGUAUGGACCAAGACGGGCAAUAUGGGUGUGCACAUUGUCUUCUGAAUGCUGCAAACAUUCUAAUAUUCACUCCUUGUUGACCUAGGACAUCAGUGAGGUGGAAGACAUGCAUUUCUUCCAUGGUGUCUGUCUUUUUCCAUCUUAAAAUAUUUUUUAUAAAGAAUGUGUAAAAUGUUUGACAACAUGUUCAACAAUUUUGUGUGACGCAAGCAAUGAAAUGAAGAAUAGUAGUUGUAUAAACAAUGACUAUUCAGCUUGUACAAGCAGAGACAACAAAAGCAAGCUAAUAACGAUCAGUGGUAGGGCGGUCGACCUCCGUUCGGAAUAUUCCGGGUUUGAUUCCCGCCU